This 366-nucleotide ribosomal RNA is filed under the name Triticum aestivum (bread wheat). RNAcentral's name for it is "partial small subunit ribosomal RNA". The record is from RNAcentral. Lineage: Eukaryota; Viridiplantae; Streptophyta; Magnoliopsida; Poales; Poaceae.
GUUAUUGAUGAGUUAUUGGAUGAGUUGUCUGGAGCCUGUUGGUUUUCCAAGUUGGACCUUCGAGCAGGUUAUCAUCAGAUCAGAUUGGCCCCUGGGGAAGAACACAAAACAGCGUUUCAGACACAUUUUGGCCAUUUUGAAUUUCUGGUGUUGUCCUUUGGUCUUACUGGAGGACCUAAUACAUUCAAUUUUGCCUUGAAUGAGACACUGUCACCCUGUGUCAGGAAAUUUGUGUUGCUUUUCUUUGAUGAUAUCCUCAUAUUCGGUGCUUCUUAUGCACUGCACUUACAGCAUUUGGAAGAAGUGUUGAAACUGCUCUUACAACAUCAGUGGCAAGUGAAACUAUCAAAAUGUGCUUUUGCACAA